GGUGCAUUCCUGAAACCCCAGCACUUGAGCGGCUGAGGCAGGAGGAUAGCAGAGAGUUUAAGGCCAGCCUGGGCUACAAAGUGAGUUCAAGGCCAGCCUGAACUACAUAGCGAGAUCCUUUCUCCAAAAAAAGAUGUGAGCUGACCAAUAGGAUGGCCGUAACUGUAUGACAGUUCUAGGUCUAGCCUUUAGGAGGACUGGCACCUUCCGCCCAGCCUCCAGGAAGGCCUGAGCUGCCAUGGUAGAAGUCGGACUACCUUUAGAGAAAGAACCCUGGAGAGUCCUGAGACUCAAAGCAGAGAAGCCCUGCUGAGCCUGACCUCUAUACCAAUCUAUCAGCUGUGAGACCAGCUGGGACCUACCAGACCAGUCCAAUCACCUGCUGAAUACCACCAGGAUACUGAAAAACGCAGGCUUUUAAAAAGCACCAGACACCA
Molecule: long non-coding RNA, 437 nt
Organism: Heterocephalus glaber (naked mole-rat)
Lineage: Eukaryota; Metazoa; Chordata; Mammalia; Rodentia; Bathyergidae
Source: Ensembl